This 646-nucleotide ribosomal RNA is filed under the name uncultured Eubacteriales bacterium. RNAcentral's name for it is "bacterial SSU rRNA". It matches the Rfam family "Bacterial small subunit ribosomal RNA", at positions 79 to 742 of the family's 1533-position model. Lineage: Bacteria; Bacillati; Bacillota; Clostridia; Eubacteriales. The record is from RNAcentral.
AGUUGAGUGUCGGAUAGUGGCGGACGGGUGAGUAACACGUGGGCAACCUGCCCUACAGCCUGGGAUACCAUCGGGAAACUGAUGUUAAUACCGGAUACGCUCUUUUGAUCGCAUGAUCUAAGGAGGAAAGAUUUAUCGCUGUAGGAUGGGCCCGCGGUCCAUUAGCUAGUUGGUAGGGUAACGGCCUACCAAGGCGACGAUGGAUAGCUGGUCUGAGAGGACGAUCAGCCACACUGGGACUGAGACACGGCCCAGACUCCUACGGGAGGCAGCAGUGGGGAAUAUUGCGCAAUGGGGGCAACCCUGACGCAGCAAUGCCGCGUGAAGGAUGAAGGCUUUCGGGUCGUAAACUUCUGUCUAGAGGGAUGAAUUUUGACAGUACCUCUGGAGGAAGCCCCGGCUAACUACGUGCCAGCAGCCGCGGUAAUACGUAGGGGGCAAGCGUUGUCCGGAAUUAUUGGGCGUAAAGCGCUCGCAGGCGGUUUUUUAAGUCUGAUGUGAAAUCUUGCGGCUCAACCGCAAGCGGUCAUUGGAAACUGGAGAACUUGAGGACAGAAGAGGAGAGUGGAAUUCCACGUGUAGCGGUGAAAUGCGUAGAGAUGUGGAGGAACACCAGUGGCGAAGGCGACUCUCUGGUCUGUAACUG